RNAcentral lists this non-coding RNA (1075 nucleotides) under fungal endophyte. RNAcentral describes it as "eukaryotic LSU rRNA". The stretch from base 497 to 1075 matches the Rfam family "Eukaryotic large subunit ribosomal RNA", at positions 1 to 591 of the family's 3401-position model. Lineage: Eukaryota; Fungi. RNAcentral also lists the same sequence under 1 other name. The record is from RNAcentral.
GGAUCAUUACUGAGUUUACGCUCUACAACCCUUUGUGAACAUACCUAUAACUGUUGCUUCGGCGGGUAGGGUCUCCGUGACCCUCCCGGCCUCCCGCCCCCGGGCGGGUCGGCGCCCGCCGGAGGAUAACCAAACUCUGAUUUAACGACGUUUCUUCUGAGUGGUACAAGCAAAUAAUCAAAACUUUUAACAACGGAUCUCUUGGUUCUGGCAUCGAUGAAGAACGCAGCGAAAUGCGAUAAGUAAUGUGAAUUGCAGAAUUCAGUGAAUCAUCGAAUCUUUGAACGCACAUUGCGCCCGCCAGCAUUCUGGCGGGCAUGCCUGUUCGAGCGUCAUUUCAACCCUCAAGCUCUGCUUGGUGUUGGGGCCCUACAGCUGAUGUAGGCCCUCAAAGGUAGUGGCGGACCCUCCCGGAGCCUCCUUUGCGUAGUAACUUUACGUCUCGCACUGGGAUCCGGAGGGACUCUUGCCGUAAAACCCCCAAUUUUCCAAAGGUUGACCUCGGAUCAGGUAGGAAUACCCGCUGAACUUAAGCAUAUCAAUAAGCGGAGGAAAAGAAACCAACAGGGAUUGCCUCAGUAACGGCGAGUGAAGCGGCAACAGCUCAAAUUUGAAAUCUGGCCCUAGGCCCGAGUUGUAAUUUGCAGAGGAUGCUUUUGGUGCGGUGCCUUCCAAGUUCCCUAGAACGGGACGCCAGAGAGGGUGAGAGCCCCGUACAGUUGGACACCAAGCCUUUGUAAAGCUCCUUCGACGAGUCGAGUAGUUUGGGAAUGCUGCUCAAAAUGGGAGGUAUAUUUCUUCUAAAGCUAAAUACCGGCCAGAGACCGAUAGCGCACAAGUAGAGUGAUCGAAAGAUGAAAAGCACUUUGAAAAGAGGGUUAAACAGCACGUGAAAUUGUUAAAAGGGAAGCGCUUGUGACCAGACUUGCGUCCGGUGAAUCACCCAGCUCUCGCGGCUGGGGCACUUCGCCGGCUCAGGCCAGCAUCAGCUCGCUGUCGGGGACAAAAGCUUCAGGAACGUAGCUCUCUUCGGGGAGUGUUAUAGCCUGUUGCAUAAUACCCUUCGGCGGGCUGA